CCAAAGUCAUGGUUAAGUGGGAAACGAUGUGGGAAGGCCCAGACAGCCAGGAUGUUGGCUUAGAAGCAGCCAUCAUUUAAAGAAAGCGUAAUAGCUCACUGGUCGAGUCGGCCUGCGCGGAAGAUGUAACGGGGCUAAACCAUGCACCGAAGCUGCGGCAGCGACGCUUAUGCGUUGUUGGGUAGGGGAGCGUUCUGUAAGCCUGCGAAGGUGUGCUGUGAGGCAUGCUGGAGGUAUCAGAAGUGCGAAUGCUGACAUAAGUAACGAUAAAGCGGGUGAAAAGCCCGCUCGCCGGAAGACCAAGGGUUCCUGUCCAACGUUAAUCGGGGCAGGGUGAGUCGACCCCUAAGGCGAGGCCGAAAGGCGUAGUCGAUGGGAAACAGGUUAAUAUUCCUGUACUUGGUGUUACUGCGAAGGGGGGACGGAGAAGGCUAUGUUGGCCGGGCGACGGUUGUCCCGGUUUAAGCGUGUAGGCUGGUUUUCCAGGCAAAUCCGGAAAAUCAAGGCUGAGGCGUGAUGACGAGGCACUACGGUGCUGAAGCAACAAAUGCCCUGCUUCCAGGAAAAGCCUCUAAGCAUCAGGUAACAUCAAAUCGUACCCCAAACCGACACAGGUGGUCAGGUAGAGAAUACCAAGGCGCUUGAGAGAACUCGGGUGAAGGAACUAGGCAAAAUGGUGCCGUAACUUCGGGAGAAGG
Molecule: ribosomal RNA, 698 nt
Filed under: Escherichia coli
Lineage: Bacteria; Pseudomonadati; Pseudomonadota; Gammaproteobacteria; Enterobacterales; Enterobacteriaceae
Description: partial 23S ribosomal RNA
Rfam family: Bacterial large subunit ribosomal RNA
Source: RNAcentral